GAUGAAGAACGUAGCGAAAUGCGAUAAGUAAUGUGAAUUGCAGAAUUCAGUGAAUCAUCGAAUCUUUGAACGCAUCUUGCGCUCCUUGGUAUUCCGAGGAGCAUGCCUGUUUGAGUGUCAUUUAACUUCUCAACCACAUUGGAUAUUUUUUUUCCGAUGCCGGCUUGGAUGUGGGGGUUGUUUGCAGGCUUUUUGUAACAAAAAAGGUCGGCUCCCCUGAAAUGUAUUAGUGGUAUCUGAGGCUAUUACUAUUAGGUGUGAUAAUUAUCUAUGCCUUUUGGGUAUGCCGCAUGAACAGAUUAUGCUGCUUCUAACGAAAACUAUUUUGAUGAAUUUGACCUCAAAUCAGGUAGGACUACCCGCUGAACUUAAGCAUAUCAAAAGCGGAGGA
RNAcentral lists this unclassified non-coding RNA (391 nucleotides) under soil metagenome. RNAcentral describes it as "partial contains 5.8S ribosomal RNA, internal transcribed spacer 2, and large subunit ribosomal RNA". The stretch from base 1 to 120 matches the Rfam family "5.8S ribosomal RNA", at positions 35 to 154 of the family's 154-position model. The record is from RNAcentral.